CCUCCGCGCCGCCGACCGAGCCGCUGCCAGGGCACGCAGCCAACAGCCGAAGGCCGGUGGAAGAAGGCGGCGCCCAGGCAGCGCCAGCCGAUAGCCGAGAGAGGGCUGAGCCGGAUCGUGUGGCCUGUUGCUGGGAUCAUGAGAUGAAAGGAAAGCCAGGGUCAGUGCUGAGAAGGCAAUUCCCUGUGGGAGUGGUGCUGGGGACCAGCCGCUUUGGGAGCAAUUCCACCAAUGCCGUCCACCUCUGCACUCCCCGGCUUCGCAGACCCAGUGAUCCCGCCAACUCAGCACGGAGACAACGCAAAGGAGCCAGACUGCCUGCUUGACAGACGCGGAGGAGUUGCUGUGCGAUAGUUAAUGAAACAGUUUAAAGAAAACUCACACGCCCCAUCCCCGAGAGGCUUGUUAUUUUCAGAAUGAAGCGGGCACCAGAGGGAACCUGCUCCUGAACCAAACAUCCUGCCAGGUGGAAGCAGGAACUGCUCCUGGAUGGAGACAGAAGCUCGCCAGCGAUGGGUCUCUCUCUGCACUCGCUUUCUCAAGAAAGUCAUCAGAUGCAAAUUCUGCACCAACAUGGGCAGGGAGGCAACAAGCCAGGGCAGCUUUUGGGCAUCUGCAGCCGUGAGGGGUACAGCUAGAGCUGGGCUAGAGCUGGCAUUUCCCUCCCCACCCCGAUUUCUUUUUUUUCCUCCCUGUAAAGAAAUGUGAGCAAAAAAAGCAAAAUACAGCCAAAUGUUAAGAG
Molecule: non-coding RNA, 742 nt
Organism: Phalacrocorax carbo (great cormorant)
Lineage: Eukaryota; Metazoa; Chordata; Aves; Suliformes; Phalacrocoracidae
Source: RefSeq, a predicted model, not a curated record